CUCCUACGGGGGGCAGCAGUGGGGAAUAUUGGGCAAUGGGCGCAAGCCUGACCCAGCAACGCCGCGUGAAGGAAGAAGGCUUUCGGGUUGUAAACUUCUUUUGUCAGGGACGAAGCAAGUGACGGUACCUGACGAAUAAGCCACGGCUAACUACGUGCCAGCAGCCGCGGUAAUACGUAGGUGGCAAGCGUUAUCCGGAUUUAUUGGGUUUAAAGGGUGCGCAGGCGGAGGUGCAAGUCAGUGGUCAAAUUGCGGGGCUCAACCCCGUACUGCCGUUGAAACUGCAUCCCUUGAGUGCGCGAGAA
RNAcentral lists this ribosomal RNA (305 nucleotides) under uncultured bacterium. RNAcentral describes it as "bacterial SSU rRNA". It matches the Rfam family "Bacterial small subunit ribosomal RNA", at positions 336 to 656 of the family's 1533-position model. The record is from RNAcentral.